GACGAACGCUGGCGGCGUGCUUAACACAUGCAAGUCGAACGGAAAGGCCCUGCUUUUGUGGGGUGCUCGAGUGGCGAACGGGUGAGUAACACGUGAGUAACCUGCCCUUGACUUUGGGAUAACUUCAGGAAACUGGGGCUAAUACCGGAUAGGAGCUCCUGCUGCAUGGUGGGGGUUGGAAAGUUUCGGCGGUUGGGGAUGGACUCGCGGCUUAUCAGCUUGUUGGUGGGGUAGUGGCUUACCAAGGCUUUGACGGGUAGCCGGCCUGUGAGGGUGACCGGCCACAUUGGGACUGAGAUACGGCCCAGACUCCUACGGGAGGCAGCAGUGGGGAAUAUUGCACAAUGGGCGGAAGCCUGAUGCAGCAACGCCGCGUGCGGGAUGACGGCCUUCGGGUUGUAAACCGCAUUCGCCUGUGACGAAGCGUGAGUGACGGUAAUGGGUAAAGAAGCACCGGCUAACUACGUG
RNAcentral lists this ribosomal RNA (468 nucleotides) under uncultured bacterium. RNAcentral's name for it is "partial 16S ribosomal RNA". It matches the Rfam family "Bacterial small subunit ribosomal RNA", at positions 28 to 507 of the family's 1533-position model. The record is from RNAcentral.